This 73-nucleotide transfer RNA is filed under the name Stegodyphus mimosarum. It matches the Rfam family "tRNA". Rfam says of the family: Transfer RNA (tRNA) molecules are approximately 80 nucleotides in length. Their secondary structure includes four short double-helical elements and three loops (D, anti-codon, and T loops). The record is from Rfam by way of RNAcentral. Lineage: Eukaryota; Metazoa; Arthropoda; Arachnida; Araneae; Eresidae.
GCCUUCGUGGUGUAACGGUCAGCACGCUCGGCUCGUAUUCGAAAGGUCCAGGUUUCGAGUCCCGGCGAGGGUA